AUGUCUGGACUUGAACACUGGUGGGCAGAGGAGAUCACUGUCCUCGUAACCAUCCAACCACAGGUUGGUUCGCGACAUAGUAAGAAGUUAAUGUCUUCCCAAAGAAAAACUAAUUUUAUCUGGGAAGUGAUGGCAUCUUGCAAGCUCGCCGGCCGGACAUGUGUGGAGGACGCCUUCGUACGUAGGUGUGAAGGGCUCUCAGAGUGCCAAAUCUGCAAGGAAAGGAAUGCACGCUACUUGUUGCAUUACCUUCUUCCGUGCUUGUCAGAUAUGAAUAAGGAGCAGCUAGCUGAGAGGCAGAUCGGGGCCAAGAUGACAGGGGUGUCAUCAUACCAUCUACGCAUAGAACCAGCCGUGUUCGACAAAGAUGACAGGGUCUACUGCAAUAAUUGCGACACAUCAAUUUACGAUCUCCAUAGAAGGUGCCCAGACCCGGAGUGCGGCUACGAGCUAUGCGUCCUCUACUGCAAGGAGCUCCGCGAGAACAACCUCCGAGGCUGUUGUGAGGAGAUGGAGGACGAUUACCCGGACAAUGGACCCGACUACUUGCAUGGAGGCAAUCCACAGACGUGCUCCUCGUCGGCAGGCAAAGGUCAAGACAUUGCAAGACAAUCAAAGAAACUUAAAAUAGCUAAGUGGGUAGCGAACGUAGCUGCCAACGAUGGCAGCAUCCCUUGCCCUCCCGCCGAGCUCGGGGGCUGCGGCCGCCUGACUCUUGAACUGAGACGGCUUUUCCCGGAGGACUGGCUUACACAUCUCGAGGCAGAAGCCACAACGUACAAACUCUUCUUGCCCGCUUCUGAUGUGGCAAGUGCCGAUGAUGCAUGUAGCUGCCUUUGCAGUUUGUCUAUGGAGAAAAGGAGAGCUGCGUCCAGGGAUAACUCAAAUGAUAAUUGGCUGUAUUACCCGGUGUCAGACGCUGCAAAGCCGGAUGACCUCAAGUACUUCCAGAAACAUUGGGUGAGGGGAGAGCCAAUACAUAGUGAUGAUAGGGCUUCAGAUAUUGUGAACGUGAAGGCUAUCGAUUGCCUUAGUGGCUGUGAGCUUGAAAUACCCAAUACCGACUUCUUCAAAGGGUACUACAAAGGUCGAAGUUAUGGUAAUGGUUGGCCAGAGAUGCUCAAACUGAAGGAUUGGCCUACUUCAAAUCAAUUUGAAGAUCUCUUACCAAACCAUGCAGAAAUGUAUACGACUUCAUUACCUCUCCAACCAUACACCAACCCGAAUUUUGGCUCCCUUAAUAUUGCAACUUUCCUUCCUAACGACGUCCACAAGGUUGAUUUGGGCCCAAGAUCAUACAUAGCAUAUGGUACUUCACAAGAACUUGAAAGAGGAGAUUCUUUUACAAAGCUUCACUGUGACAUGACUGAUGCGGUGCAUGUACUGAUGCAUACUGCCAAGGUUCCCGCUUAUUGGAGGCAAGAAAGUGCCAUCACUGAUCUGAAAUUAAAGCAUAUGGCCCAAGACAAAAAUGAAUUAUGCAGUGAUGAAAUAGACAGGGAUGGCUAUGCAAAACACAAUACAUCACCUGAACAUAUGGAGUGUCAAGAGGGCGCUCUCUGGGAUAUAUUUAGAAGAGAGGAUGUCCCAAAAUUGAAUGAAUAUUUGACAAAGCACUCAAAAGAGUUUCAUCAUAUACAUUGUGUUCAAGUCAGAAAGGUGUAUAACCCAAUGCACGACGAAACGUUUUAUCUGACGGAACACCACAAGAGGAAGCUUAAACUUGAAUUUGGAGUAGAGCCUUGGACUAUAGUACAAAAGCUUGGAGAAGCUGUUUUCAUACCAGCCGCUUGUCCACAUCAAGUACGUAAUCUUCAGUCUUGUACCAAGAUUGCUCUAGACUUUGUUUCCCCUGAGAAUGUUAGACAAUGUAUGAUGCUGAACGAAGAUUUCCGCUUAUUACCCAAAGACCACAGAUCAAAGGAAGACAAACUAUAG
RNAcentral lists this ribosomal RNA (1938 nucleotides) under Triticum aestivum (bread wheat). RNAcentral's name for it is "partial small subunit ribosomal RNA". The record is from RNAcentral. Lineage: Eukaryota; Viridiplantae; Streptophyta; Magnoliopsida; Poales; Poaceae.